RNAcentral lists this non-coding RNA (951 nucleotides) under Stathmonotus gymnodermis. RNAcentral's name for it is "12S ribosomal RNA". It matches the Rfam family "Bacterial small subunit ribosomal RNA". Lineage: Eukaryota; Metazoa; Chordata; Actinopteri; Blenniiformes; Labrisomidae. The record is from RNAcentral.
CAAAGGCUUGGUCCUGACUUUUUUAUCAGCCAUAACUAAACUUACACAUGCAAGUAUCCGCACUCCUGUGAGAAUGCCCCUUCCGUUCCCUUUAUGGAGCAAGGAGCCGGUAUCAGGCACACUCUAAUAGUAGCCCACAACACCUUGCUUAGCCACACCCUCAAGGGACUUCAGCAGUGAUAAAUAUUAAGCAAUAAGUGAAAACUUGACUUAGCUACAGUUAAAAGGACCGGUAAAACCUCGUGCCAGCCACCGCGGUUAAACGAUAGGUCCAAGUUGAUAAACUCACGGCGUAAAGAGUGGUUAAAUUAAAACUUUCCGCUAAAGCCGAACAUUCUCAGGACUGUUAUACGUUUUUGAGAGCAAGAAGAUCAAUUACGAAAGUGGCUUUACAAUAUUGAAUCCACGAAAGCUGUGAAACAAACUGGGAUUAGAUACCCCACUAUGCACGGCCGUAAACUUAGGCAGUAAAAUACACUUUCUGCCCGCCAGGGUACUACAAGCACGAGCUUAAAACCCAAAGGACUUGGCGGUGCUUAAGAUCCCCCUAGAGGAGCCUGUUCUAGAACCGAUAACCCCCGUUAAACCUCACCCUCCCUUGUCACUCCCGCCUAUAUACCUCCGUCGUCAGCAUACCCUGUGAAGGCAUAAUAGUAGGCAGAAUUAGCAUAGCCCAAAACGUCAGGUCGAGGUGUAGCGAAUGGGAGGGGCUAGAAAUGGGCUACGCUUCCUAAUAUAGGAAAAACGGAUAGCACGUUGAAAUAUGUGUCAGAAGCUGGAUUUAGUAGUAAGCAGAAAACAGCAUGUUCUGCUGAAAAAGGCCCUAAAGCGCGCACACACCGCCCGUCACUCUCCCCGAGCUACUUCUAAUCUUUAAAUAAAACACAUUUUUAGCCAAGGGGAGGCAAGUCGUAACAUGGUAAGUGUACCGGAAGGUGCGCUUGGAAAAAU